This 224-nucleotide long non-coding RNA is filed under the name Vitis vinifera (wine grape). Its description in RNAcentral is "long non-coding RNA (VVIN_LNC005829)". The record is from RNAcentral. Lineage: Eukaryota; Viridiplantae; Streptophyta; Magnoliopsida; Vitales; Vitaceae.
CCAUAACCAGAGACCUAAAAUCUGUGAACGGGGCCCCUACCACAUGUCUGGCGAUCCGCGGCUGCAGGCUCCUCAAAACCAUCUGAAUCUGGUCCCUCUCUGAUGGUCUAUCGAUAAUCUCAGCUAUCUUCCCGCGCCAGCGGGAAAUGAACGAAGAAACUGACUCGUCCGAUCUCUGCCUAAGAGCCUCUAGCUCUCUCCUCGAUACGUCUACGACAGUGUUA